Molecule: non-coding RNA, 74 nt
Organism: Potamilus streckersoni
Lineage: Eukaryota; Metazoa; Mollusca; Bivalvia; Unionida; Unionidae
Source: the annotation of a GenBank genome assembly
GUUCCGAUGGCCUAAUGGUUAGAGUGUCCCUCUCGGAUGUGGGAGGCCGUGGGUUCGAUCCCCCGGCUGAGUCA